GGUCCGUUGGUCAAGGGGUUAAGACACCGCCUUUUCACGGCGGUAACACGGGUUCGAAUCCCUCCCGUACGGACUA
RNAcentral lists this transfer RNA (76 nucleotides) under Streptococcus suis. RNAcentral's name for it is "tRNA-Glu". It matches the Rfam family "tRNA". Rfam says of the family: Transfer RNA (tRNA) molecules are approximately 80 nucleotides in length. Their secondary structure includes four short double-helical elements and three loops (D, anti-codon, and T loops). Further hydrogen bonds mediate the characteristic L-shaped molecular structure. tRNAs have two regions of fundamental functional importance: the anti-codon, which is responsible for specific mRNA codon recognition, and the 3' end, to which the tRNAs corresponding amino acid is attached (by aminoacyl-tRNA synthetases). tRNAs cope with the degeneracy of the genetic code in two manners: having more than one tRNA (with a specific anti-codon) for a particular amino acid; and 'wobble' base-pairing, i.e. permitting non-standard base-pairing at the 3rd anti-codon position. The record is from RNAcentral. Lineage: Bacteria; Bacillati; Bacillota; Bacilli; Lactobacillales; Streptococcaceae.